AUCGAGCUGACGAGUCCAAAAUGAGACGAAAUGCUCAUCCUCCAU
Non-coding RNA from Schistosoma curassoni, 45 nucleotides. Lineage: Eukaryota; Metazoa; Platyhelminthes; Trematoda; Strigeidida; Schistosomatidae. The record is from Rfam.